RNAcentral lists this ribosomal RNA (472 nucleotides) under uncultured bacterium. RNAcentral's name for it is "bacterial SSU rRNA". It matches the Rfam family "Bacterial small subunit ribosomal RNA", at positions 355 to 825 of the family's 1533-position model. The record is from RNAcentral.
UGGGGAAUAUUGGACAAUGGGCGAAAGCCUGAUCCAGCCAUGCCGCGUGUGUGAAGAAGGUCUUCGGAUUGUAAAGCACUUUAAGUUGGGAGGAAGGGUUGUAGAUUAAUACUCUGCAAUUUUGACGUUACCGACAGAAUAAGCACCGGCUAACUCUGUGCCAGCAGCCGCGGUAAUACAGAGGGUGCAAGCGUUAAUCGGAAUUACUGGGCGUAAAGCGCGCGUAGGUGGUUUGUUAAGUUGGAUGUGAAAUCCCCGGGCUCAACCUGGGAACUGCAUCCAAAACUGGCAAGCUAGAGUAUGGUAGAGGGUGGUGGAAUUUCCUGUGUAGCGGUGAAAUGCGUAGAUAUAGGAAGGAACACCAGUGGCGAAGGCGACCACCUGGACUGAUACUGACGCUGAGGUGCGAAAGCGUGGGGAGCAAACAGGAUUAGAUACCCCCGUAGUCCCUGAGCGGGCUGGCAAGGCGCAU